GAUGAACGCUAGCGACAGGCUUAACACAUGCAAGUCGAGGGCAGCGAGGGAGUGGCAACACUUCCGUCGGCGACCGGCGCACGGGUGAGUAACGCGUAUGCAACCUGCCCUUCACAGGGGGAUAACCGGGAGAAAUUCCGACUAAUACCGCAUACGUCCUCCGGGGGCAUCCCCGGGGGAUGAAAGAGUUAUCGGUGAAGGAUGGGCAUGCGUGAUAUUAGGUAGUUGGCGGGGCAACGGCCCACCAAGCCCACGAUAUCUAGGGGUUCUGAGAGGAAGGUCCCCCACAUUGGUACUGAGACACGGACCAAACUCCUACGGGAGGCAGCAGUGAGGAAUAUUGGUCAAUGGACGAGAGUCUGAACCAGCCAAGUCGCGUGAAGGAAGACGGAUCUAAUGGGUUUGUAAAACUUCUUUAGUGCGGGAACAAAGCGGCGUCGAGACGCCGGAUGAGUGUACCGCAAGAUAAGCAUCGGCU
RNAcentral lists this ribosomal RNA (478 nucleotides) under uncultured bacterium. RNAcentral's name for it is "bacterial SSU rRNA". It matches the Rfam family "Bacterial small subunit ribosomal RNA", at positions 28 to 498 of the family's 1533-position model. The record is from RNAcentral.